RNAcentral lists this ribosomal RNA (499 nucleotides) under uncultured bacterium. RNAcentral's name for it is "bacterial SSU rRNA". It matches the Rfam family "Bacterial small subunit ribosomal RNA", at positions 16 to 507 of the family's 1533-position model. The record is from RNAcentral.
AUCAUGGCUCAGGAUGAACGCUAGCGGCAGGCUUAACACAUGCAAGUCAGGGGUUAGCACGGAGGAAGCUUGCUUCCUGGGUGACGACCGGCGCACGGGUGAGUAACGCGUAUCCUACCUACCCAUAACUCGGGGCACAGCCGCUCGAAAAGAGUGAUUGAUUCCCGAUAUGUCAUUAGAGUAGAUCUAAUGAUGAAAGAUUUAUCGGUAUCGGAUGGGGAUGCGUGACAUUAGAUAGUAGGCGGGGUAACGGCCCACCUAGUCUACGAUGUCUAGGGGUUCUGAGAGGAAGGCCCCCCACACUGGAACUGAGACACGGUCCAGACUCCUACGGGAGGCAGCAGUGAGGAAUAUUGGUCAAUGGUCGGAAGACUGAACCAGCCAAGUAGCGUGAAGGAUGAAGGUUCUAUGGAUUGUAAACUUCUUUUAUACGGGAAUAAAACCUCCCACGUGUGGGAGCUUGUAUGUACCGUAUGAAUAAGCAUCGGCUAACUCCGUG